AGACUAUUUACCGGCGUAGAAGGUACUUUAAAUUAGCUUGCAUUAGAACAGUUUUCGUCAACAAAAGAAAUAAUGGCUCUACUAAAAAAUUGGAUCCUUGUUGCUUUGAUAAUUCCUCUCGUGAGCGGAAACCCUUUCUUGAUGUACAGGAGUCCAUGGAAUUCAAUGACGUACCCUGGACAUCUCAUCAACAAUAACAUGUAUAGUGGAAUGUAUGGAAGAACACCCUUGCUUCCUUACAGUCCCUUCUUAAAUAACUUUUCUGGAUUCGGGAGAGGGGGACUAUGGAAUGACGACGAUUCCAGUUACGUGGGUUUAUACGGGAGAGGAUUUAGGGGCUACGGAGACUUUGAUAACAACUAUUCAAGAUACAACAGGGGAUUGUUCGGUCGUCUCGGAAACGGGGACGAUUUUGAUAGGUACGAUGAUGAUGACGAUGAAAGGUUUGAUGACUAACACUGAGUUGAAUCAUCAGUGGAAGAAUGAAUGUAAAAGUUCUGUGAAGAAUGCGAUGAAGCUCAUAGAAACAUUGAAUGGAAGAAAUUCAAGAUUGAAAAACUUAAUUGCAAAAGCGACAAAAAUGUAAAUUAAACUUUAAAUUUGUUCAGAAUGUUGUGCUCUUUGAUAAAACAUUUUAGUUCA
Molecule: long non-coding RNA, 642 nt
Organism: Magallana angulata
Lineage: Eukaryota; Metazoa; Mollusca; Bivalvia; Ostreida; Ostreidae
Exons: 3
Source: RefSeq, a predicted model, not a curated record